GACGAACGCUGGCGGCGUGCUUAACACAUGCAAGUCGAACGGACAGGCCCUGCUUUUGUGGGGUGCUCGAGUGGCGAACGGGUGAGUAACACGUGAGUAACCUGCCCUUGACUUUGGGAUAACUUCAGGAAACUGGGGCUAAUACCGGAUAGGAUCUCCUGCUGCAUGGUGGGGGUUGGAAAGUUUCGGCGGUUGGGGAUGGACUCGCGGCUUAUCAGCUUGUUGGUGGGGUAGUGGCUUACCAAGGCUUUGACGGGUAGCCGGCCUGAGAGGGUUACCGGCCACAUUGGGACUGAGAUAGGCACCAGACGCCUACGGGAGGCAGCAGUGGGGAAUAUUGCGGAAUGGGCGGAAGCCUGAUGCAGCAACGCCGCGUGCGGGAUGACGGCCUACGGGUUGAAAACCGCUGUCGCCUGUGACGAAGCGUGAGUGACGGUAAUGGGUAAAAAAGCACCGGCUAACUACGUG
Molecule: ribosomal RNA, 468 nt
Filed under: uncultured bacterium
Lineage: Bacteria
Description: partial 16S ribosomal RNA
Rfam family: Bacterial small subunit ribosomal RNA
Source: RNAcentral